RNAcentral lists this ribosomal RNA (776 nucleotides) under Ligilactobacillus salivarius. RNAcentral's name for it is "bacterial SSU rRNA". It matches the Rfam family "Bacterial small subunit ribosomal RNA", at positions 33 to 780 of the family's 1533-position model. The record is from RNAcentral. Lineage: Bacteria; Bacillati; Bacillota; Bacilli; Lactobacillales; Lactobacillaceae.
ACGCGGCGGCGUGCCUAAUACAUGCAAGUCGAACGAACUUUCUUACACCGAAUGCUUGCAUUCACCGUAAGAAGUUGAGUGGCGGACGGGUGAGUAACACGUGGGUAACCUGCCUAAAAGAAGGGGAUAACACUUGGAAACAGGUGCUAAUACCGUAUAUCUCUAAGGAUCGCAUGAUCCUUAGAUGAAAGAUGGUUCUGCUAUCGCUUUUAGAUGGACCCGCGGCGUAUUAACUAGUUGGUGGGGUAACGGCCUACCAAGGUGAUGAUACGUAGCCGAACUGAGAGGUUGAUCGGCCACAUUGGGACUGAGACACGGCCCAAACUCCUACGGGAGGCAGCAGUAGGGAAUCUUCCACAAUGGACGCAAGUCUGAUGGAGCAACGCCGCGUGAGUGAAGAAGGUCUUCGGAUCGUAAAACUCUGUUGUUAGAGAAGAACACGAGUGAGAGUAACUGUUCAUUCGAUGACGGUAUCUAACCAGCAAGUCACGGCUAACUACGUGCCAGCAGCCGCGGUAAUACGUAGGUGGCAAGCGUUGUCCGGAUUUAUUGGGCGUAAAGGGAACGCAGGCGGUCUUUUAAGUCUGAUGUGAAAGCCUUCGGCUUAACCGGAGUAGUGCAUUGGAAACUGGAAGACUUGAGUGCAGAAGAGGAGAGUGGAACUCCAUGUGUAGCGGUGAAAUGCGUAGAUAUAUGGAAGAACACCAGUGGCGAAAGCGGCUCUCUGGUCUGUAACUGACGCUGAGGUUCGAAAGCGUGGGUAGCAAACAGGAUAA